Molecule: ribosomal RNA, 465 nt
Filed under: uncultured bacterium
Lineage: Bacteria
Description: partial 16S ribosomal RNA
Rfam family: Bacterial small subunit ribosomal RNA
Source: RNAcentral
CCUACGGGUGGCAGCAGUGGGGAAUAUUGCGCAAUGGGCGAAAGCCUGACGCAGCGACGCCGCGUGAGGGAUGAAGGUCUUCGGAUCGUAAACCUCUGUCAGCAGGGAAGAACGGUCACUGUGCUAAUCAGCAGUGAAUUGACGGUACCUGCAAAGGAAGCACCGGCUAACUCCGUGCCAGCAGCCGCGGUAAUACGGAGGGUGCGAGCGUUAAUCGGAAUUACUGGGCGUAAAGCGCUCGUAGGCGGUAUGUCAAGUCAAGGGUGAAAUCCCCGCGCUCAACGUGGGAAGUGCCUUUGAAACUGGCAAACUGGAGUGUGUGAGAGGAUAGUGGAAAUCCAGGUGUAGGAGUGAAAUGCGUAGAUAUCUGGAGGAACAGCAGUGGCGAAGGCGACUAUCUGGCACAUAACUGACGCUGAGGAGCGAAAGCGUGGGUAGCAAACAGGAUUAGAUACCCCUGUAGUC